RNAcentral lists this ribosomal RNA (486 nucleotides) under uncultured bacterium. Its description in RNAcentral is "bacterial SSU rRNA". It matches the Rfam family "Bacterial small subunit ribosomal RNA", at positions 30 to 507 of the family's 1533-position model. The record is from RNAcentral.
AUUGAACGCUGGCGGCAUGCCUUACACAUGCAAGUCGAACGGCAGCACGGGAGUAAUCCUGGUGGCGAGUGGCGAACGGGUGAGUAAUAUAUCGGAACGUGCCCAGUCGUGGGGGAUAACGUAGCGAAAGCUACGCUAAUACCGCAUACGAUCUAUGGAUGAAAGCGGGGGAUCGCAAGACCUCGCGCGAUUGGAGCGGCCGAUAUCAGAUUAGCUAGUUGGUGGGGUAAAAGCUCACCAAGGCGACGAUCUGUAGCUGGUCUGAGAGGACGACCAGCCACACUGGAACUGAGACACGGUCCAGACUCCUACGGGAGGCAGCAGGUGGGGAAUUUUGGACAAUGGGCGAAAGCCUGAUCCAGCAAUGCCGCGUGCAGGACGAAGGCCUUCGGGUUGUAAACUGUCUUUUGUACGGAACGAAAAAGUCUGCCCUAAUACGGUGGGCUCAUGACGGUACCGUAAGAAUAAGCACCGGCUAACUACGUG